Molecule: long non-coding RNA, 947 nt
Organism: Silurus meridionalis
Lineage: Eukaryota; Metazoa; Chordata; Actinopteri; Siluriformes; Siluridae
Exons: 3
Source: RefSeq, a predicted model, not a curated record
GUGGGUUAUAGGAAGAGCAUCAUAGCUGCAGUACGUUCAGUUAGUUUCCACCUCAACAUCGUCCACUUUAAGUGAUUUGACUCUCCACAGAACUGCUGAUUCUAAUAAACCACUCAAUUCCACACAAACCCAAUUUCACUUCAGCUCUUUUCCUGACUCGCCCUCACAUAAAGAGAAACAACAAAGUCUCACAGCGUCUCGUCAUCCACGGAGCAUGAAGCAGUUUGACAUUCUACGAUACUGUGAGUAAAUCUGCAGAGCUGUAGACUCAAAAACCAUGUAAAGCUGAACAUCUCUGACUGCACUGACACGCUGUAGAGAAAACCUCGACUCUCCUGCAUCUCUGAACUUCAACACUCAGGAUCAGCAAUGGACUUGAAGAAAAGCCCUUCUCUGUUUUGUCCCCACAUUCUAUAAGUGCAUUUCCCAUGUUUAUAUAGAAAUCUGCUCUCUGUGUGUAAAUCCAUCGUGAUAUUCAGCAUGUUUGAGGAUGAGCUUUAAUAACAUUCGUUUAAAACCAUGUUCAUGUGUGAAACCGCCAUUUAAACUGCUGCUGACAUUUACAAUCAACUGGAAGGAUCAUUGGCGUGGAAAUGUCAUAGCCUGGAGAACUGGAGUAUGAAGGGAGGAGAAUGAUCAAUCUGUGCUUCAAUACAAUCCUGUCUGUGGUCUACAGACAGUUCCUUGGAUUUCAUGGCGUGGUUUGUGCUCUGACAUGCACUGUUAACUGUGGGACCUUCUAUAUCUCAGGUGUUGGAGUGAGCGAGUGGUGAUGGUGGUGAAGGAAAAACUCCCUGAGAUGGUAUGAGGAAGAAACCUGAGAGGAACGAGAUUUAAAAGGGAUCCUCAUCCUCACAUUCACAUCCUUCAUCAUCACAUUAUUUAUUAUUUUCUCUCUCAAAACAGCAAACUGCACAUUAGUGAUGUAGUUUUAGCUCAGUAAUGUG